This 474-nucleotide ribosomal RNA is filed under the name uncultured bacterium. RNAcentral describes it as "bacterial SSU rRNA". It matches the Rfam family "Bacterial small subunit ribosomal RNA", at positions 330 to 801 of the family's 1533-position model. The record is from RNAcentral.
ACCGUACUCCUACGGGAGGCAGCAGUGAGGAAUAUUGGACAAUGGGUGCGAGCCUGAUCCAGCCAUCCCGCGUGAAGGACGACGGUUCUAUGGAUUGUAAACUUCUUUUAUACUGGGAUAAACCUACUCUCGUGAGGGUAGCUGAAGGUACAGUAUGAAUAAGCACCGGCUAACUCCGUGCCAGCAGCCGCGGUAAUACGGAGGGUGCAAGCGUUAUCCGGAUUUAUUGGGUUUAAAGGGUCCGUAGGCGGAUCUGUAAGUCAGUGGUGAAAUCUCACAGCUUAACUGUGAAACUGCCAUUGAUACUGCAGGUCUUGAGUAAAGUAGAAGUGGCUGGAAUAAGUAGUGUAGCGGUGAAAUGCAUAGAUAUUACUUAGAACACCAAUUGCGAAGGCAGGUCACUAUGUUUUAACUGACGCUGAUGGACGAAAGCGUGGGGAGCGAACAGGAUUAGAAACCCCUGUAGUCCUUGAC